UUGGGCAUAAGCUUUCGUGGGUAAAAACCUCACUUCUUCAGAUGUAUAGAGUGAAAGUGAUUCUAGUGUGAUACAAAUAAUGAAUAACAGUGAUGAUGAUAAUAACAAACAACAAUCGUGUAACUCAUCUGUUCCAUUUUCCUUUCCCAUUUAGGGCCAAUGAUCCAAACCACAUCCAUUGCACUGAGUUCAAAGAUGAUCUCAGCGUUACAGGGUGAAACGGUGAAAGCAGUCUGUGCGCAGAACAUCAACGAAACGGAAGGGCUCGCUAUAACUCUGAGAAAAAAUGGCAGUUCUGCUGAGCUAUGUUACAUACAGCUUGGAAAUUCCACCAUUUGGAACAUAAAUUGCACAGACCAUAUAAACCUAGAAUACAAUAAACCGACAAAAGAGUUUUAUGUUGUUAUGGAGAGAGUCUCUGUCAAACAGUCUGGUGUUUACAACUGCACCUUGGACAAGACACUUCCCCCUCCUGUGAGAAUGUUAAGCCAGUUGCACUUUUCCCUCACAGUGUCAGCUCUUCCAGUGGUUGAGGUUUUUUUGGCCUCUUCUUCAUCCAUUGACAAGGAGACCACGUUAACUUGCCUUGCUUGGGACUUCUAUCCUGGAGACAUCCAGCUCUCCUGGAGUAAGGACAGCCAGUUGCUCACUAACUCAACAAGGAAUGACUCUCUGUUCCACAAUAGCAACGGGUCUUAUUCCUAUAUAAGUAACCUUGUUGUUUCCAAACAUGACUGGAAUGAAUUUGCCCAGUUUUUCUGCCAAGUGAAUCACUCUACACUGAAAAUGCCUGUUGUGAAAAACCUCACCCUGACCCAGUCUGGUAAAGCAAUUUCUGAAAUGUCAAGUCCAUACCUACGGGUUUUUGUCAUAUCUAGUAUGAUGCUGCUGCUGCUGCUAAUAUCAUAUGUUGUUCUGAAGAAGUAUACGAAGCCAUCUCAAGAAAUGGUGGAGGAGGAACAGCAUCUUUAGUUUUGAUUCAACUCCCCGCUCGCCCUGUUGUGCUCAACCUUAU
This is a non-coding RNA of Malaclemys terrapin pileata, 1015 nucleotides long. NCBI's taxonomy places the organism in Eukaryota, Metazoa, Chordata, Testudines, Emydidae. The record is from the annotation of a RefSeq genome assembly.